Rhododendron vialii is the source of this 1009-nucleotide long non-coding RNA. RefSeq lists it as uncharacterized. The record is from RefSeq and is a predicted model, not a curated record. NCBI's taxonomy places the organism in Eukaryota, Viridiplantae, Streptophyta, Magnoliopsida, Ericales, Ericaceae. The transcript is spliced from 5 exons.
AUUUAGGACGUAUUAGUCAUUUUGCGCUUUAAAGUGGUGGGUCGUAGACACUAUUUAAAUUAUUUGCAAAUUACUUUAACGGGUUUUCGGACUUUUGAGAUUUUCCUUCUGUGUCCUCUUUAUAAUACACUAUUUUGUCAUUUAGUGCUACUGGGCCAAAGGGUUUUUUUGCUAAAAGCAUGUCCCAAUUUCACUGUGGGUGUGGGAAUCCUGGCUGGAAUUCAGCCUCUGCCUCUUAAAGUCAAUCAGUGCCCUCUCUUUUUCUCUCUCUCAAACGAAAGCACAAAUUAUUUUCCUUGCAAAUCGAUUUGUUCGAUUUGAACGGCCAUCGCCAUAGAGAAUCGAUCAGGUCGUUGAUCGGGCUUGGGUUAUGAUCACCUUCAUUUAGCGAGGGAGAUAGAGAGGAAUUCCAUUUUGUUUCUCGAAAGAGUGCAUAAAGGUUGGAUUUGAUCAUCUUCAACCGUAGAGAGAGAGAAUUAAGUUAGUGCAUUAAGGGCCCAAAAAUUUAAAGACUAAAAUGAUGGCAAAACUGUCUUAUUGGUGGAUCGGCGGCGUCACAUGAUAAUAAGGAGGAAGGCUGAGGGUCGGGAAUGGUUCCUUACUUUGCCCUUCCAGUCUGAAUACCAAGGAAGAACAGAGAAGAAGAAGAAAUUGUCUGGGUAAUGGACACUGUCUUUCUCUAUCUUGUGUUGAGUUAUUGAAACCCUAAUAAUUGUUUACUUCUUGUGUUUUCUUAUUACCGAUGCAGUGAUUUGGGCUUCCACCAUGGAGGCCAUGUGGUUGGCAAACAAUAGAGAACUAAUGUUGAACUCUGAUGGGCAUACCAGGUUGGGCCCUUUGUUAAACAUAGAUCCCCGUUGAAAAGAACAUAAUUUUGCCUUUUAUCAGUUAGAGUUGUCAUGAUAGACAAAAGGUCUUGAGCAAGCUGGAACCAAGAGAGGCUCUUGACAUUAGAAAUCGCAUGGUAUGGUUGAAAGGAUUUGGCAACUAACUUGAAUCGACUUUUAUU